UACGUAGGGUGCAAGCGUUGUCCGGAAUUAUUGGGCGUAAAGAGCUCGUAGGCGGUUUGUUGCGUCGGCUGUGAAAUCCCGAGGCUCAACCUCGGGUCUGCAGUCGAUACGAGCAAACUAGAGUGUUGCAGGGGGAGACUGGAAUUCCUGGUGUAGCGGUGAAAUGCGCAGAUAUCAGGAGGAACACCGGUGGCGAAGGGCGGGUCUCUGGGCAACAACUGACGCUGAGGAGCGAAAGCGUGGGGAGCGAACAGG
This 255-nucleotide ribosomal RNA is filed under the name uncultured bacterium. RNAcentral describes it as "partial 16S ribosomal RNA". It matches the Rfam family "Bacterial small subunit ribosomal RNA", at positions 524 to 776 of the family's 1533-position model. The record is from RNAcentral.